This 497-nucleotide unclassified non-coding RNA is filed under the name Aureobasidium pullulans EXF-150. RNAcentral's name for it is "sequence contains 18S rRNA gene, ITS1, 5.8S rRNA gene, ITS2". The stretch from base 134 to 287 matches the Rfam family "5.8S ribosomal RNA". The record is from RNAcentral. Lineage: Eukaryota; Fungi; Ascomycota; Dothideomycetes; Dothideales; Saccotheciaceae.
ACUACCUUGUUGCUUUGGCGGGACCGCUCGGUCUCGAGCCGCUGGGGAUUCGUCCCAGGCGAGCGCCCGCCAGAGUUAAACCAAACUCUUGUUAUUUAACCGGUCGUCUGAGUUAAAAUUUUGAAUAAAUCAAAACUUUCAACAACGGAUCUCUUGGUUCUCGCAUCGAUGAAGAACGCAGCGAAAUGCGAUAAGUAAUGUGAAUUGCAGAAUUCAGUGAAUCAUCGAAUCUUUGAACGCACAUUGCGCCCCUUGGUAUUCCGAGGGGCAUGCCUGUUCGAGCGUCAUUACACCACUCAAGCUAUGCUUGGUAUUGGGCGUCGUCCUUAGUUGGGCGCGCCUUAAAGACCUCGGCGAGGCCACUCCGGCUUUAGGCGUAGUAGAAUUUAUUCGAACGUCUGUCAAAGGAGAGGAACUCUGCCGACUGAAACCUUUAUUUUUCUAGGUUGACCUCGGAUCAGGUAGGGAUACCCGCUGAACUUAAGCAUAUCAAUAAG